Molecule: ribosomal RNA, 434 nt
Filed under: uncultured Ruminococcus sp.
Lineage: Bacteria; Bacillati; Bacillota; Clostridia; Eubacteriales; Oscillospiraceae
Description: partial 16S ribosomal RNA
Rfam family: Bacterial small subunit ribosomal RNA
Source: RNAcentral
ACGGGAGGCAGCAGUGGGGAAUAUUGCACAAUGGGCGCAAGCCUGAUGCAGCGAUGCCGCGUGAGGGAAGAAGGUUUUCGGAUUGUAAACCUCUGUCAUCGGGGGCGAUAAUGACUGUACCCGAGAAGGAAGCUCCGGCUAACUACGUGCCAGCAGCCGCGGUAAUACGUAGGGAGCGAGCGUUAUCCGGAAUUACUGGGUGUAAAGGGAGUGUAGGCGGGACUGUAAGUCAGAUGUGAAAUAUACCGGCUCAACUGGUAGACUGCAUUUGAAACUGCGGUUCUUGAGUGAAGUAGAGGUAAGCGCAAUUCCUAGUGUAGCGGUGAAAUGCGUAGAUAUUAGGAGGACCAUCAGUGGCGAAGGCGGCUUACUGGGCUUUAACUGACGCUGAGGCUCGAAAGCGUGGUGAGCAACCAGGAUUAGAUACCCUGGUU